Molecule: transfer RNA, 71 nt
Filed under: Mycoplasmopsis anatis 1340
Lineage: Bacteria; Bacillati; Mycoplasmatota; Mycoplasmoidales; Metamycoplasmataceae
Description: Mycoplasma anatis 1340 tRNA
Rfam family: tRNA
About the family: Transfer RNA (tRNA) molecules are approximately 80 nucleotides in length. Their secondary structure includes four short double-helical elements and three loops (D, anti-codon, and T loops).
Source: Rfam by way of RNAcentral
GGGAGUUUAGCAUAUCGGCUAUGCAGCGGUCUCCAAAACCGUCGAGACGGGUUCGACUCCUGUAACUCCCG